GUCAUUAGGUUCUUGUUACAGUUUGACUCUUUCACGAAUUCACUCCCUUUCUUUGCGAGUCCUCACGUUUGGCUUAAGGGAUUGAUAGAAACAUGAUGGUAGCUAUAUUUAAUGACCUAAAACCAUCAUUAUAAUUACAGCGAAAAACAGGAGAUAACUAAGAGGGUUUAAGAGUGUGCCAUGUACUUCAGUGAGGCUGACACUAAAUCACCUUGAAUUUAGUCUUUGCUCUCGAGCAGAUCCUGCUGUGAACUGCCUUGAGUGACCGCUCUUGGGGAUACCAAGUUGCUGUGCAGAGACAGCUUCCGAAUAAAAAGGGCGAGGGAGCGGGGACGGCGUACCUGGGGCUGUGUGCAGUGCAUCUAGUGAGCUCUUGGAUUGGGAACCUCCUUGGCAAGGAAGGGGCAGCCUUACUCUUACAGGUAGAUUCUUAAAAUCUGUGAUUUUGUAGGCUAGGAAGUAGUAACCUGUUUUGUCCAUUUAUGGGAUGAGAAGGCUCAACAGUGGCUGGUUUCUGAAACUAUUUUGCGGUUCAGAAUUAAAACUCUGGUUUCUUCUGCAGUGAAGAUAUAACAGACAAGAUAUGUGUUUGUGGAUAAAUGCCAGGAAGUCUACUCAAGGAUCGCUCACAAAUUAUUCCAUUUGGUGAAGUUAUUAUAUGGGCAGUAACCUUUUCUCAAGAAUUUUUAGCAGAUAGAUUUAGUGUCAAAACAAUAUAAUAGACUGUAUUAGCUUCUCCAGUCUAUCAUGUUUGUUACCUACUUUUUAAUGCAUGCCUUCUACUCAUUGAAUUGAAGGACCUUAUUGAUCUCUUUGCAGCUGAACUGAUUAUUGGGGUAAGAUAGAGUCUUCCUGAAAUAAGCCAAGACAAAUUAUUCAUUUAAAAUAUUCUUAUUUUAGUAAACUUCUGUUUAACGUCCAGGGUUAAUUAAAAAAAAAUGUAUUGCUGGUGGGCUGGCAUAAACUUAUUAAAUCAGAAAGAAACUGAGUUCAGGCUAGUACGUUUCAUGUCAACUUUUGUAGUGUUCUCGGGGAAAAUAGCUGCAUAUACUUAUUAAUAAUCCAGAAUUUUAAAACAACAGCGAAGCAAUCCAACUGGGAAAAUAACCCUCAAACUGAGUACGUAUUCUACAACUUUGGAUUGCUUGCACAUGCCUAAAUCAGGUAUCUGGGACUUCAUAGGUCUGUGGUUAUUGGUUAAAAACCUCUCUCUAUCAUUAGGUAUUAGCUAGUUGGUGUCCGUAGCUUGCAUGGGUUGGAGUUGGGGGGUUUGGUGUGCUCUCCAGAAGGGCUGUGCUUCUUUCCUGUGCCUGCAGGGUGAAUGAUGCAUGUGAUAGCUGGCAUCUUUGCUAAUGCUGACUAGAGAGAGCAAGGAUUAAAUAGUCCUAACAGCUGAGGGGAUUUUCAAAGGCAUGAGUGGUAUUUCGACCCAUACCUCCUGCUGAUUCCUACUGGUUUUCCAGGCUUGCUUACAGAUUGCUGGUCCAGCGUGAGCCUGCGUCCCCACCACUCUCCCUGGACCAGCCACCUGGGCUGUUUGAUGGCUGGCAGACUGGGGGGAUGUUCAGAGCUCCAAAUGCCAGCGCCCCAGUUACACUGAUGGGAUGGAGGAGCUCACGCCUGGCAGGAAAGGAAGGAGCAAUAGACUUCUGUGGAGAUCGUUUGAUCUUGUUGUUCGUGCUGUGACAGGCUUGAAGGAGCGAGCGGGCGGCUAACAAAGGUGUAGCCUGACUUUUUGGAGCUCGGUACCUCUAAUCCUGACUUGGCCUUGGGUCUGAAGCCUAGAGGAGUAGGUCUAAAAUGUCCUAUGAAACAGCAGCCAGAGAGCGCAGAAGGCUUGAGUGGGAGAACUUUAUGAAAAAACAAAUGAGCAGUAAAAUAACUGCGUGAGGCAUGAGGACAGGAGGUUAGUUAUGAACCUAUUCAGGACAGGUGAAACUAAGUGUUAGAGAACACAAGGAAGACUAUAAGAAAUCCAGUACUGGAUUUAGAUGGACAGUGUUGACGUUGUUAGCCAUGUGGCAUUUGUGCAAGAUGUUCUUAGACGCUAUUGUGAAGCUGUCCAUUUUGUCAGCAGGCUCAGAGCAAACGCUUCCCCGCCCUCCAAAUCCAAUGGCUAUUUUCUAAGUGGUUUUAGCCUGCAAUGUGACAAGCAGUGUACUUUUGGCCACUGAUUUUGCUUUGUGGGCUAUGGGAUUCUGUUUGUUCCUGCUGCCCUGGAGUUUCCAACGUGGACGGAGCCCUUUGCGGCGCAUCGCCUCCCUCACAGUGUGGGCAGAAAUCGUAGCUGCGGUUUUGUUCCUCCAGAGGAGAAAAUCCAGCCUUUCACCAGACGUUGCAGCUUAACUGAAGCAGCAGGAACUAUCAAGAAUGCCUGUAAUAUGGAUAUCUCAUGUAUAGUAAAAUGUCAUUUUCAAGCACUUUCUGAACUAUCCCUCCCACUAAUGAAGCAGCCCUGAAAUUCUGCAUGACUUUCUCACAGCUUGUCGCGCUUCGCGUAACCUGGCUUUUGAUCGUGAUGUCGCUUCAGGUAACGCCUCGCGAGGCGAACGGUGUGUUGUGUGCUGAGAUCGGGUGGUGGCCUCCAGGAGCUAGCAGUGAAGGGCUCUUUGAGAUGUGGUCUUUGUGCUUGUCAAAGCAAAAUAACUGCUGCAGUGACAGUAGUAGUUGGCUAUCCAAACUCACCUCAGCCUGCGGAGAAGGAAGACUUGAACGUUAUGCAAAAAGUCCUGUUUAAUCUGAAAGCUGUCCUAGACGAGAUAUUAAGGUUGAGUAAUCAUUUUUACUGUCUUUCAGUUUAGGUUCUUAAUUCAGUUCAGUGAUUUCCUAAAUGCUUGAGUGGGUUUUGGUAUUUUGGUAGCUCUCACCUGAGCUGCGGGCAGCGGAAGUGAAGCUCUGCCAGGACACCGUCUGCUGCUUGUCACCGUGAGCCGCGGUAGCGCUCCGCAAGGCUGCUCUCGCCGCGUGCAGGGCAGUGCCUUUCUGCGGCUGUCCUCGUCCGCCCGAGAGCCUGGGCUCUGCAGCCGAAUUUCACAGUUCAGUGUAGUACCUCCCGGGCUCUCCUACCGAAUUUAAAACCAGGCAGGCUUACAGCCGCACGCGGUGGUCCAGGAGGGCAGGAGGACUGCGCACACGAGCAGGCAGCUGGCUGGAGCGAGCCUGGCUCAGCGCCCACGGCACCACCUGGAAAGCCCUCGGAGCUGGGGCAAGGGCAGACCCCUCCGCACACGCGUUUUUCUCACCCAGAGAGAAAGCCCGGAUCUCCGUGUUGAACACGCAUGGCCGGAGACGACGUUGGGGCUGUGUGCCGCUGUAACAAAGGCUUUUCUGCAAGCGUGCAUCCCAUCUUCCUUUGGCCUCACUCUCCCCUCCUCAGUGUUUGCUUUCUGGGAGCGUCGGAGUGACUGAGGGCGACAGCCUGGCCCCAGGCAGCCCUGUGAUUUGCCAUUGCCUUCGAUGGAGUCAGUAUUUCACCUGUGCUAGCAGUGACAGAGACUGACUGUCGGAGCCGCACGCACGAGCUUUCACAGAAAUCAAUUCUCACGUGCAGCAUUAAUGUUGGAAACGCUCUUGCUCACCUACCUAAUGGUUGGUCAGGCCCAACAGCCUGUGACUAAUGGCCAUUCACCGUUAUACAGCAUGGCCUGGUUAUAAAAACUUCCCAUUAGUCCGUAACAAAAAAAUCUCAAGCUGUUAAUUGAUCCACACGUCUUUUUGAGGAAAUCAGAGUAAUCAGAUGGACGCUCCUUGCACAGAAAGGCAAGUUACAGUUAGCUGGUGCAUUGCUUUUGUGAUUCAUCUGCUCUGGUCUACUUUUUUUUUUGUUAUUUAUUUUUUCAUGAGGGGCCAGUGUUGUAAAUCAAAGAUUUGCGAAAUAAGCCUGUGCUUAAAAUGACCCACAUUAAAAAUCAAUUGCCACCUUUCUUGUCUUCCUUGGCAUCUCUUCCAUUUCUGUGAGGAGCAGGCGCAUGUUAAAAGGCUGGCAUACAGCUACAGAGCCAGCCGUUAGCUCAUGCUCUGCCUCUGCCAAUGCUGAAGGUCAGCUACUGGAAAAAGUUACAAAAACUGGCUGUUACAGCCAGGUAUGAUCCUGCAGAAAGAGCCUUUAUUGAGAGCUGUUAUCCUUUGCUCAUUGCUGUUGAAGUCAGCGUGACUCUGCCCUGGAAAAACUGUCUGUGCUGCCGAUGACUUGCUGAACGCAGACGGUAAGAUGCGUGCAGGUUGGAUUUUUUGCCAUUCAAGUUUUCCUGCAGUAAACAUCCUCUUUUUUUUUGACAGAUGGGACCAUUCCUGACAAUUGUUAGCACAGUCGGUCUAUGCGGCGUCUGUGGUGUUUGCACCCCCCGUGUGACCCAGCGGGAGCAGCAGCGCCGUUAGACGCGUCCAGCUGCCACGGGACUCCAGCUAAGUGCGGGCUGCUUCGAUAUAGACCAAAAAAGAUGACGGUGGAAAAUGGUCACUUGACACCGUAUGAAUAGAAGAAAUACAACUAUUUCUAAACAAAAAUAUUCCACUGUUUAUGUCCUGGGUGCAUAUUUGUGUGUCAUUAAAAUAACUGUUUGUAAUUUUUCAUACCUCUUAAGGCCUAACUGAAAAUUAUUCAGGCAGGUGUACGGCAGGAGUUACUGCCCCUUUGCAGAGAGAACGCUUUUAAGGAAUACUGGCUGGCACUUCCACAUUAAACGCGUAGUUAAAGUGGAAAAGCAGCAUAGGCUUGCGGCACAUGACAGCUAUAUGUGUUUGACCCUGCGUUUCAUGUAUACAUCCAAUAAAAAUCACAUCAAUAAAAAGAAAUCUAAAUUGGCUUCUGCAUUAGAAAAAUACACAUUGAGACAUUACAGAUUUGGGGUAUCUUUUUAGUACUGUUUCCUUUCUCCAUGCCUGUCUUCCUAAAAGUGCAUUGUAUUGUUGCAACAUGCACAGUGAUUUCAAAUGAUUAAUACCUUGAGAGCAUAAACUCAUAACAAACCAUUUUUAUCCAUUAUCUAAAAUCAACUUUUAAUUAGAAGAAUACUUCAUAUUUGCUUUACAAUACUAAAUUACCCUGAUUAUUUUAAAAUUGUGUGUGAUGUUGGCACAUACUAAUAAGGCAUUUAUAUUUCUGUUGGACCUUUAUUAUCUGUCUGAAACAUGAAUUUCAAUUAUUAAGCAUUAGUAAGUAUUUAGGAAUGUCCUGAUUUGUUGGUCUGCCAUUAAUUCUGCCAUUAAUUUUGCCAGGAAUUAUUUUUUUUUUUUGGUAGCCUGUAUUUUAGAAGAAAAACUGUAUUGUAUUUGCACAAAAUUUGUAUUUUUUUAACCCAGAUAGGAGGGGUUCACAGGAACCACAGUACAACUGAAAGUUGGAUCAAGCUACAGUAAAGGUUUCAUAUGGGAGCAUAUUAUGUGUUCUCAAAUUUAAUGCAUCUGGUUAGUGUGUCAUAGGGGCUAACCUGACUCUCGUAGUGCGCUCUCCCGAUCCAUGCCAGUUACUUUGAUGUUUUAUAUUUAACUCAGGAGGCUGACGGUCGUCUACAGACACUCUCUUUCUCAAGAACAUGCAUGUCAACACGCGACUACAAUGAAAAUGGAAGUGCACCUAUAUGUGGCUUGCUCUCAGCCUCGGCAAGCUGCCUGAUCCCCCGUAACGCUGAUGAAAGGGUGUCGCUGUGCCUUCCUCACCGAACGGUUAAAGGCAAGCAGUUUUUCCUUUAUGAUAAUCUCAGGAACAGUGCACUUAAAAUGAGGCUCAAUAACAAUGAAGUUAGACAUUCAGUACAUUGGAAUAUUUUAUUUUGACUUUACAUGCGGUGUUAAAAACCCAAAGAACAUAUUAUUUACACAUCCACAAUACAAGUUUACAAGAUAUCUAUACAUGUUAAAGUACUCUAUAGUAUAGAGCAGCUUCAUUUAAGGGUUACUUUUUUAUGCCGUACCAUUAAAAAAGAUACAAUCUGCGUUUACCUUUGCACAAAUGGAUAAAGCAUCUUUUAUUAUUAAAUUAACAGAAUAAAGACUAGGUUGAAUGUUAGAAAUUUCAACAUAAAUACUGAGAGAACUCACAUUACCAUCUACAAGGCAGCACAAUGUUACAGGAGGUUAUCAGGGUUCACAUACAUUUAUCUUUCGGUUUCACACAAGUCUGAAUUAAUAUUUGUAAAGUGAAUUCAGAUCAGCUUUUGUCUUUUGACAACUGAGUACAUUUUUAAUAGUUAUUAAUCUUGUAGUGUUUUAGUUGCAAGACAGAAGUGUUUAGGAAGAGAGAUCGUUGAUGUUUGGAUCCAGAGGUCUGAGGAAAUAAAUGUCCCUUACAGCCUUACCAUUAAAAAUGACUACUUCUAUCCUUUAUUCUUUGUUCUGUAACAGAGAUCCGGUUUUCAGUGACUAACCUUUUCUCCCCUUCAAACAGAUAGAUGAUAUAAGUCUCCAUCAUCUCUGAAACCCAUUUGCAGUUACUUGUCCCGCUAAUUCAUGAAUAUUCCUCUGCACUGGUUAUUUCUAUAGUUAUGUUCAAUAAACAACGUGGUAGUGUGCAGUUUGCAAGCUAAAAUAGCCAUCUGUGUUGAACAUCAGCUGCAAGUGGAUACUGUAAAACCUCCUAAAUGGCUUACACAACUUUAGCAGGUGUUCCAUUACCCUAGAAACCUCAUUUGAUUUCACAUUAUAACUGUUUGAUCCUUCAGAGAGCUGGAGUGGAAUGUUUAUCAUGGUAAGGUGAUUUACUGCUGCUAUCGUCUCGGAUUGUAGGCUGCCUUUAGUUAUCAUUAAUUAUUCUUGCUUUUCAUCUUUUUUUUUUGGGGGGGGGUGCUGUUGAGAGGUUUUACACUGGCACUCGGGAAAUAUGUGCUAUAGUGAGAACACUUGACAGUUUUUUUUUUUUUUUAGUACUUUUAUCAUUUGCAUGAAUAAGGCACAAAAUGCACAGAUUCAGGUAAACUCACACAUAAUAUUUACAGAAUAUUGUCAUUACCUGCAUGACUUUGGAAAAAAAAAUUACAUUACACAACAAAAACAAAUUGAUUGCACUACUGUUGAGUUUUCACAGACUGCUUCUGCCAGGCCAAUUAAUGUUUCUUCCUUUCUACUGACAAGAGUCUAUCAGAGUGUAGGGCAUUAUUAAAUGCAACAAAAAAAACAUAACCUUCUGUAGUUACACAGGCCUCUGCCAAGUGAAUUGUUAUUAGCUGCCCUCAAUGAGAAGUACAGGGGCUCGAGUUCACAGUGGCCAGGUAGUGGCUGGGGAAGCACAGUAGAACUCCCCAUUCCAGCCCAAAACAUUAGAUUUGAAAUGUACAGCUCUGAAUCAAUAGCAGCAUACCAGAGUUAUGAAGAAUUAAACGUUUAUGCACUCUUUCACUGGGUGACUUAUUUCAUCGAGGCGAAUCGCUCAGAAGGCUGCCAGAGAUGCGCAGUUCUUCCUUAGCUGUCUCCGCGCUGAACCCAAACGCUGCAGAAGGAAGAGUCAUCUGUUUGUUCAGUCAUGCUCAAUGUAAACAAUUCCAUAGCAUAAAAGAUGCAAUGGGAAUCUAAAUACAUCCUAGUGUGUACAGUACACACGCACAUCCACACACGCACAGCUUUAUCUGUGGCACAAACAAAAUGCCACACACAUGGAGAGGAAAAAAAAAAAAAAAA
Molecule: long non-coding RNA, 7611 nt
Organism: Struthio camelus australis
Lineage: Eukaryota; Metazoa; Chordata; Aves; Struthioniformes; Struthionidae
Source: RefSeq, a predicted model, not a curated record